UUUGCCCCUUGAGGCGUUGCAGUGCAACUGAUUGUGUUGUUUCUGUGUCAUAAGGUGGCAUAGAUUAAAGGGCAAUGUCUAUGCCUAGUACUCCCUUAAUAAUGAGUGCUCUGUGUCAUUUUUAGUCCUACAAA
Small nucleolar RNA from Myxocyprinus asiaticus (Chinese sucker), 134 nucleotides. RefSeq annotates it as small nucleolar RNA SNORA17. The transcript has a single exon. The record is from RefSeq and is a predicted model, not a curated record. NCBI's taxonomy places the organism in Eukaryota, Metazoa, Chordata, Actinopteri, Cypriniformes, Catostomidae.